This 1564-nucleotide long non-coding RNA is filed under the name Oreochromis niloticus (Nile tilapia). RNAcentral's name for it is "lncRNA (ENSONIG00000027149.1)". Lineage: Eukaryota; Metazoa; Chordata; Actinopteri; Cichliformes; Cichlidae. The record is from RNAcentral.
AUGCGGCUCCGGAGCCGCAGGUUGCCAACCCCUGUGCUAGACAGUGAUCGUGAUUACCGUCCGCGGGACGCCGUUAGUAAUGCCGUUACUUGUAACGCUGUUAUUCCCAUCACUGGUCACGACACUGAUGUCCUGACUGCUUAUCAGCUGAUUGGUCCUUUCAUAGUUUAUCAGAGGACAAAGAAACUUGAUUUAGUUUGGACAAUCCACCAAUCACAGAGCUCCAUCAGGGACCUUACAGUAACUACAUUCACCAGCAGAGCUGCUGAUCUUCAUCGUGCACAGAAACAUUCAGCUUGUUUCAAUCAGUAAAUAACUCCCACUACUCUCAGUUUGAACUGUUCCCACUCAAAAUGCUGUCAGAACAAUGAUCAUUGUAGAACUUCACAAACAUCACGUGUUGUUUUCCACAUGUAAGAUCAGCAAACAUACAGAAACUUCCUGUUGCCACACACGGCCUCUAAAAUCUCUUCCACGGUUUCUGUCUGAAGUCCACUCUCUGUGUCGGAUCCACAGGAAACAACAAGAUCUUAUUAACAUGGUUUUCAAUGUGUCUCCUUCCAAAAAGUCCAACCAAUGAACAAAUGUGUAUAUUUGUGGAGGCCGAACAAAAGCAUGACACAUUUCUCUGUUUCUAUAAACUGGAGUCAAACACAAAUAUGAAGAGUUUCAUUGACAGACUCCAAAAUGCCCCCGCAGUGAAUCAAAGGGAAAUCCUACAGUGUGGCAGAGAAUCUUAAUGGCUCCAACAUCAACACAUCCACAAUGUUGGAUCCAGUUCUACCUCACAGUUUCAAUUUGUUUUUGCGCUUUUCAAUUUGUUUUUGCGUUAAGUGAAUUUGUUUUUGCGCUUUUCAAUUUGUUUUUGCUUUAAGUGAUUUGUUGUUGCGCUUUUCAAUUUGUUUUUGCGUUUAGUGAAUUUGUUUUUGCGCUUUUCAAUUUGUUUUUGCGUUAAGUGAAUUUGUUUUUGCGCUUUUCAAUUUGUUUUUGCGUUAAGUGAAUUUGUUGUUGCGCUUUUCAAUUUGUUUUUGCGUUAAGUGAUUUGUUGUUGCGCUUUUCAAUUUGUUUUUGCGUUAAGUGAAUUUGUUGUUGCGCUUUUCAAUUUGUUUUUGCAUUAAGUGAUUUGUUGUUGCGCUUUUCAAUUUGUUUUUGCGCUUUUCAAUUUGUUUUUGCGUUAAGUGAAUUUGUUUUUGCGCUUUUCAAUUUGUUUUUGCGUUAAGUGAUUUGUUGUUGCGCUUUUCAAUUUGUUUUUGCACUUUUCAAUUUGUUGUGCGUUUUGUGAUUUGUUUUUGUGGUUUGCACUUCAGGGCCACCGUAGUGCCCUCUAUCAGUCUGGGUCAUACCGAGUUUAAAGCUGCUACCACAGCGAGAUUUGAUCGGUUAAGAGAGAGAGCGAGAUCAAAACAGCCACGAAAAGUCCGGCAUAUAUGUGCCCAAGGGUUGUACUGAAGCAAUCAAGUGAUGAAUAACUGUUUUCCAGUAUGUUGUUUUGCAAUGUUUUUUUUGUUUGUUUGUUUUGCAUUGUUGACUUGUUUUUUACCGAAGCAGCUAAUAAACCAUGAUG